CAUGCAAGUCGAGCGAGAAAGUGACUUCGGUUGCGAGUAAAGCGGCGAACGGGUGAGUACAACGUGGAUAAUCUACCCUAAGGUCCGGGACAACCCCGAGAAAUCGGAGCUAAUACCGGAUAAGACCACAGUAUCCAAGGAUACAGCGGUAAAAGAUUUAUCGCCUUUGGAUGAGUCCACGUCCCAUCAGGUAGUUGGUAAGGUAAAAGCUUACCAAGCCUAAGACGGGUAGCCGGCCUUAGCGGGUGAACGGCCACAUGGGGACUGAGACACGGCCCUGACUCCUACGGGAGGCAGCAGUGGGGAAUAUUGGGCAAUGGGCGAAAGCCUGACCCAGCGAUGCCGCGUGAGGGAUGAAGGCCUUCGGGUCGUAAACCUCUGUCAGGAGGGACGAUGGGACACUUGUGUCUUGACGGUACCUCCAGAGGAAGCCCCGGCUAACUCCGUGCCAGCAGCCGCGGUAAUACGGAGGGGGCAAGCGUUGCUCGGAAUUACUGGGCGUAAAGGGUCCGCAGGCUGUCAGGCAAGUUGGUUGUGAAAGCUCAAGGCUUAACCUUGGAAUUGCAUCCAAAACUGCCUGACUAGAGUCCAAGAGAGGUUGGCGGAAUUCCCGGUGUAGCGGUGAAAUGCAUAGAUAUCGGGAGGAACACCAGAGGCGAAGGCGGCCAACUGGCUUGGAACUGACG
RNAcentral lists this ribosomal RNA (686 nucleotides) under uncultured bacterium. RNAcentral describes it as "bacterial SSU rRNA". It matches the Rfam family "Bacterial small subunit ribosomal RNA", at positions 54 to 745 of the family's 1533-position model. The record is from RNAcentral.